GUCGGGGCACCGAAGUGCCUGUUAACCAGGCCCUAAGGUAGAACUCGGUAAUUGGGACG
RNAcentral lists this ribosomal RNA (59 nucleotides) under uncultured bacterium. Its description in RNAcentral is "partial 16S ribosomal RNA". The record is from RNAcentral.